Gracilinanus agilis (Agile Gracile Mouse Opossum) is the source of this 107-nucleotide small nuclear RNA. Lineage: Eukaryota; Metazoa; Chordata; Mammalia; Didelphimorphia; Didelphidae. The record is from RefSeq and is a predicted model, not a curated record.
GUGCUGGUUUUGGCAGCACACAUGCUAAAAUUGGAAUGAUACAGGGAUGUGAAGCAUGGCCCCUGACCAAAGAUGACAUUCAUAUUAGUGAAAUGUUCCAUGUUUUU